GCGACCCCAGGUCAGGCGGGGUUACCCGCUGAAUUUAA
This 38-nucleotide ribosomal RNA is filed under the name Potentilla indica. Its description in RNAcentral is "partial 26S ribosomal RNA". Lineage: Eukaryota; Viridiplantae; Streptophyta; Magnoliopsida; Rosales; Rosaceae. The record is from RNAcentral. RNAcentral also lists the same sequence under 34 other names.